This 251-nucleotide long non-coding RNA is filed under the name Drosophila guanche. Lineage: Eukaryota; Metazoa; Arthropoda; Insecta; Diptera; Drosophilidae. The record is from RNAcentral.
UUUGACGUCUGUCUCUUUGGGUUUGUCUUUGCCAAAAGUGAAAUUAAAUUCUUCGUGUCAGCCCAGCUAAGGGUAGAGAGCCAGAGCGGAGGCUGAGGUCGGUGCGGAUGCUGCGUGGGACAGGAAAAAGACUCCAUUGACUGUCACAAUCAGACUCGAAAGAUCUAAGGUCGGAAAUGUGUUGGGAAAUAUCCUCCUCCCCCCCGACACUGAAAUACAUACAAGUUUUAGCUGCCAAACGAUAGCAGAAA